GGACCCAGGUGGCUGGGGUGGCAGCUGAUCAUGUCAGGAGGACUCCUCUGCACAACAUCACAAGCACAGGAGAGAAUGCUAAACUUGAUUGGGAGCUCACAGAAGACCCCUGGAACCCAGAGCAAUAAAGCCUUUAUAGAACAGUGAUCUUGCUGGAACACUCAGGGAAAUUUGGACCCAGAGAUACAUUCAGAGAGAAGAUGAUGUGAAGGCACAGGAAGGAUGCCCUGUGAACAUCAGGACCAAUGCCUGCAAACCUAGGAGAGAGGUCUACAACAGAUCCUUCCCUCGCAGCCCUCAGAUCGAACUGACCCUGCAAGUACCUUGAUUUUGGACUUCUGGCUUCCAGAACUGAGCAACAAUAACUUUCUGUUGAAGCCGUCCAGUUUUGAAGCCACCCAGUCUGUGGUGCUUGGUUACCGCGGCCCUAGCAAACUUGCCUGAGGCUUUCCAAAUCACAGCCCCGUUUUGUCACAGGGGAAGAAUUCUAAGAAGUUCUUUAUUUGGCCAAGUGAGGGAUAGAAGAAUAAUGAGCAUUUCCCUCAUCACAGCUCUGACAACUGCCUCAGCCACACACGGCUUAGGAGAUUGGCCACUUCCUCCGCCUUCAGCUUGCAGGGGGCUUCAGUAAUAAAUGUGUAGAAGUGUUUGGUCUUCUCAAUGCUGGGAAUCCAGGGAGUAUGGCCUGGCAUACAUGGAAACCAGUCCCCUAAAGACCUCAUUGACACAGGCCUCAUUUGGGGGUCUCCUCAGGCACUUCCCCCUUGGCUCCUGAGGCCAGAACCCGACCCUGCUGUGUCUCUCUUCCAUGCAUCUUUUUGCCAUCUCUGCUCUCUGGAAUCUGCAACAAUAUGAGGGUGCUCAGGACUUUGAUGUUGCUACUGACCUCAGCAUGCCCCAGUCCAAACCUACCUUCUUCCUCCUGGGCCCACAUCCGCUUCUGCUCCCCACUUCCCCAGUGUCUUCAUUCUUUUCAUCACAUGCUGACCAAAGACUCAUCUUUAGGCACUCUCUAUGUCCCUUCUGCUACAUCCACUCUGUUGCCACAUCUCCUGAAUUCUUCUGUCUGAUUUCUUCUCACUCUUCCUUUCCACCCUGGAUCAGUCCAUUGGGGCCGCAUGUCAGGACACCGGAUGACACUGUUUGGACACCUGGAAGGAUCGGGUAAAAGAUACAGAGAAGUCUAAGGAGGGAUAGGGUGAGUCUGGGAUGGGCUGUGGAUUAGGCACCAGGUAAAGCUAAUUGGGGGGUGGGUGAGGAAUGGGGUGAGGGUAUCUAUUGCAUCUAUUUUAUGGUAAUAAAAGGAAGUUGAAAGUUC
This 1318-nucleotide long non-coding RNA is filed under the name Homo sapiens (human). Its description in RNAcentral is "long non-coding RNA NONHSAT213256.1". Lineage: Eukaryota; Metazoa; Chordata; Mammalia; Primates; Hominidae. The record is from RNAcentral.